Camellia sinensis is the source of this 992-nucleotide non-coding RNA. NCBI's taxonomy places the organism in Eukaryota, Viridiplantae, Streptophyta, Magnoliopsida, Ericales, Theaceae. The record is from RefSeq and is a predicted model, not a curated record.
CUCAUUCUGAUUUUACACCCCAUCACUGUAUCUCUCCUCUCUGUAUCUCUUACAAACCCUAUUUCUCUUCUCUCUAGCUUCGAAUUGGAGACCGAAUGGGGGUGGAGUUUGGGGGUUUCAGAGAGGCGUUUGGGGAUGAGAGAGAGGGAGCGAUUGAAGGAAGGAGAGGGAGCGAGUGAGAUCACCACCAGAUCGACGAUCGCCGAUUCAUCAGGAGAUAGACGAUCGAAGAGACUCCUGUCUCUCACUCUUUUCGGACUCUCUCUCCUCUGUAUAUUCGAAUUGGAGACCGAAUGGGGGUAGAGUUUGGGGGUUUCGGAGCAUCAUUUCUCAAAUUUGGCAGCUGCCAUAUUCAAGGAGCAUCAUUUUUCAACACAGCCUGCAGCUCCAAUGGCAAACCAUUGGAGAUGCUCUAAAAAUCAUCCCCAUGUAUCAUAGAAAAAUCCAGCUCAGAUAGGUACAGCAGAGACAGAUAGGAAAAGCCUGAAAGCCUGAAGCUCAGAUAGGUACAGCAGGCCAACAGAGAGAGAGAGAGGAAAAGCCUGAAGCUCAGAUAGGUACAGCAGACCAAUACUCAAGCCUGAAAGCCUGUGUGUCUUUCUUUAUACUUUCUCCGUCGCUCUCGCUCGCUGUGUGUACAUCUCAUCCUUAUCUUGGCCGAUGGAUCGAUUCGAUUUGCUUUCUUCAAUCAUAGAGCUAUGCAAAGGGUUUUUGUUCGAUGAGAUGAUUUAUUGGGAAUGGUCUGUAUAUUCUGUGCAGGUAAUGGUUUGUAUUAGUUAGUUGGUACUUACUAUGACAUGCUUUACAUUCAGCCCCUUUGAUUAUAGUUUAUCUUUACGGUAAAGUUAAAAAAUUAUUAAAAAAGUUAAAAAUCCAACAAACUAUAUAAAAAAAAGUCAAAAAUUCUCUUUUCUUUUUAUUUUUUCACAUUUUUUUGUAAAAAAUCAAAAAGUCGUCAUAAACAUACUAAUUCUUUUAAUGCAUAUUUUAAU